RNA transcript from Neltuma alba, 2016 nucleotides. It is a transcript of the gene named diacylglycerol O-acyltransferase 1A-like, with no coding region annotated. The record is from RefSeq and is a predicted model, not a curated record. The transcript is spliced from 14 exons. NCBI's taxonomy places the organism in Eukaryota, Viridiplantae, Streptophyta, Magnoliopsida, Fabales, Fabaceae.
UCAAUAUUCUCUCUUCUUUUAUCUCUCGCCCCACAUUCUUCGGAUUCCUCUUUCCUGCAUGAAGUUUCUAUUCUCAAUAUCAAGUUAAUAGUAGGAUUCUCAUCAGAAAGUCUUUUUUGUUUUUUCUGUUUUAGUUUCUGUGUGAUCGUGUAAGGGCUUGGUUUCUUCUCUAUUCCAUGGCUGUUUCUCAAGUGCCUGAAAGUGUAGGCACCACCGCCACUGCAACUACUACUACUACUACUUCUGCCUCCGUUCACAGCGAUUUGGAUCUCAAUCUUGCUUCUCUUCGUCGAAGGCCCCUGUCCGGGUCUUCUGUUAGGCCUGAGGCUUCUGAAGCUGAGAGUUCUGCUGAGGAUGUUCUCAGAGAUUCUGGCUCCAAUUAUUCCAAGGCCGGCGCCGAAGAUGGCAAUCAGAAGUUGGAAGGUCCCAAUGUGAUCAGCCAGAAGGUUCCAGAGCAGCUCCCUGAUGUUUCCGCCCUGAAGUUUGCUUAUCGUCCUUCGGUUCCGGCUCAUCGCAGAAUCAAGGAAAGCCCUCUCAGCUCCGACAAAAUUUUCAGACAGAGUCACGCGGGCCUUUUCAACCUCUGUAUUGUAGUGCUUGUUGCGGUGAACAGUCGACUCAUCAUUGAGAAUUUAAUGAAGUAUGGUUGGUUGAUUAAGUAUGACUUUUGGUUUAGCUCAAGAUCAUUGAGAGACUGGCCACUCUUCAUGUGUGGCCUCUCCCUUGCAAUAUUUCCUGUUGCUGCCUUUGCAGUGGAAAAAUUGGCGCAAAAGAAGUAUAUACCUGAUCCAGUUGUUGUUUUACUACAUGUAACCGGUACGUCAGCUGCAGUGUUAUACCCGGUUUUAGUAAUCCUCAGGAGUGAUUCUGCUUUUUUAUCAGGCAUUGUAUUGAUGCUUUUGGCUUGCAUCGUCUGGUUAAAACUGGUGUCUUAUGCUCACACCAACUAUGAUAUGAGAGCAAUGGCUAGAUCAAUUGAAAAGGGAGAAGCACUACCCAAUACUUUGAAUAUAGAGUGCCAAUUCAACGUGAGCUUGAAGAGCUUGGCAUACUUCAUGGUUGCUCCUACAUUAUGUUACCAGCCAAGCUAUCCCCGCACACCGUAUGUUCGAAAAGGUUGGGUGUUUCGUCAGCUUAUUAAGCUGAUAGUAUUUACUGGAGUUAUGGGAUUUAUCAUAGAACAAUAUAUUAAUCCUAUCGUCCAAAAUUCAGAACAUCCUUUGAAGGGAAACCUCCUAUAUGCCCUCGAAAGAGUCCUCAAGCUUUCUGUUCCUAAUUUAUAUGUGUGGCUCUGCAUGUUCUACUGCUUUUUUCACCUUUGGCUCAAUAUACUUGCUGAGCUUCUUCGGUUUGGUGAUCGUGAGUUUUAUAAAGACUGGUGGAAUGCAAAAACUGUCGAAGAGUACUGGAGAAUGUGGAACAUGCCUGUGCACAAAUGGAUGGUCCGCCACUUAUAUUUUCCAUGCUUAAGGAAUGGUAUACCCAAGGGCUUACAGGGUUAGCUACAGGAUCAGCAAAAGGAAGAAGAAAAUAAAGACUAAGCCGAGGUUCCUAUGCAUUUGAUAGGCAUAGGCUCUCCAAUGGAAAUUCUCUCACAAUCCUGUUACCUUCCUCUGGCCCUGCUGUGCCUUUGACUAUAUCCCAAAUUCUGUCUCUUCUAACGGCCAGAGGUAUGACAGUUCCUCAUUCGCCUUGUGAAGUCUCACUUGGACCGUCCUCUUUCUUCUUCCUACUUCUCCUAGUAUGAGCCAGCAAAUGCCAGUCUCUUGCCUUCUGAAGUCUCAUUUGGACCCUCCUCUUUCUUCUUCCUACUUCUCCUAGUAUGAGCCAGCAAAUGCCAGUCUCUUGCCUUCUUCAAACUCCUAUAAUGUGUCUGCAAUUGAGGCCCCAAGUCCAUCCCCAUCAGAAGGAAGGUGGUUGAUCCAAAGAUAUGAAAAAGAAAGGAAACUGAUAUGAGCUUCCCCAAACCCAGUCACGAUGGCGUCACUAGGUGUUGCUAUUUUAAUCGCCUUCCUG